This 910-nucleotide ribosomal RNA is filed under the name uncultured bacterium. RNAcentral describes it as "bacterial SSU rRNA". It matches the Rfam family "Bacterial small subunit ribosomal RNA", at positions 8 to 916 of the family's 1533-position model. The record is from RNAcentral.
AGAGUUUGAUCCUGGCUCAGAUUGAACGCUGGCGGCAUGCUUUACACAUGCAAGUCGAACGGCAGCGCGGGGCAACCUGGCGGCGAGUGGCGAACGGGUGAGUAAUAUAUCGGAACGUACCCAAGAGUGGGGGAUAACGUAGCGAAAGUUACGCUAAUACCGCAUACGAUCCAAGGAUGAAAGUGGGGGAUUCGCAAGAACCUCAUGCUCCUGGAGCGGCCGAUAUCUGAUUAGCUAGUUGGUAGGGUAAAGGCCUACCAAGGCUACGAUCAGUAGCUGGUCUGAGAGGACGACCAGCCACACUGGAACUGAGACACGGUCCAGACUCCUACGGGAGGCAGCAGUGGGGAAUUUUGGACAAUGGGCGCAAGCCUGAUCCAGCAAUGCCGCGUGAGUGAAGAAGGCCUUCGGGUUGUAAAGCUCUUUUGUCAGGGAAGAAACGGUGGGGGCUAAUAUCCUCCACUAAUGACGGUACCUGAAGAAUAAGCACCGGCUAACUACGUGCCAGCAGCCGCGGUAAUACGUAGGGUGCAAGCGUUAAUCGGAAUUACUGGGCGUAAAGCGUGCGCAGGCGGUUUUGUAAGUCUGUCGUGAAAGCCCCGGGCUCAACCUGGGAAUUGCGAUGGAGACUGCAAGGCUUGAAUCUGGCAGAGGGGGGUAGAAUUCCACGUGUAGCAGUGAAAUGCGUAGAGAUGUGGAGGAACACCGAUGGCGAAGGCAGCCCCCUGGGUCAAGAUUGACGCUCAUGCACGAAAGCGUGGGGAGCAAACAGGACUAGAUACCCUGGUAGUCCACGCCCUAAACGAUGUCUACUAGUUGUCGGGUUUAAUUAACUUGGUAACGCAGCUAACGCGUGAAGUAGACCGCCUGGGAGUACGGUCGCAAGAUUAAAACUCAAAUGAUUUGACGG